UCUCUUGCACAUAUUACAAGUGUAAGCAAGUACACAGAUACAGAUUAGAUAGGAAAAUCUUCUCACUGCCCUGACACUUGCAGGAAGCACUGUGAAGGUUCACACAUGGUGUCCCCUGGAGACCUUUGCAAGCCAGAGAAUGCCUAGAGGAGAUGAAGAGGGGAACAGAGAGCUCCUUGCUACCCUCCAGCUGAGAUCCCCAUGGCAACAUGGUUGAAAACAAUGAGAAAACAACCACUUUCUACCCUAAAUUGCAGCAGCAGACCUCCAGCAAAGCUUUGAGUUGGUUUAAAUUGCAAGAGUGAGCUGCAACUUGGCUCACCAGGGCCACCUGUCCCUGCUCCCUCCUGGACAGUGACCUGUCAUCCCACAGCACAGCCACUGCCUCCCGGGACGAGCACAAACGGUGCAAACAGGGAGGAGAAAAGGCUUGGAGUUCACUGCUGAGUGUUUAUUUGCAACAUGCUGUUGUGUUUGGAGAGAGUUCCAGGCAGGAUGUGUCUGCAGUAAACACAGGAAAAGGGCUGACGCUGGAGGCCCGUGGAAAGGCUGGCAGAAGUCUCAAGUUUAAUUAAAAUGGCCCCUCUUGGGGUAGCAUGUGACUCCUGAACAAUGGCUGAUAAAGCCAGGCCAGCUGCCAAGGGCCCAUUUCUCUGGGUGCUCUGGAGGUGCCUUGGCCUCUUGAAUUUUCUUUCUAGGAAUGGCCCAAAGGGACACCAGCUACAAACACACACAUGGAUUUAAAAACUGAAACAUCUGAUAAUGUUCUUCAACCUCAAAACCAAGUGUGUGUCUGAGAUAGAGACAAAGCCUGAGUUGUGCAGAGAGAGUUGUGCACAAGCCUCUCUGGAUUGCAAUCAUCCUGGACAGGGAGUAAGAGGGAUGUUAGAGAAGAACCAGGCUGCUAGGCCAGGCCCUGAGAUGUCACGGUUUCCAUGCUCAAAAUGGCUGAAGGACGGUGGAUGGAUUUUCCAUAGAGCACUGCCCCCUGCUGUGGGCUCACCAUUCCCACACGUUUCACUCCUCACAAAACCUCCGGGUAGGAAAAAUCUGCAAAAUCAUGGUGGCCUCACGAAAUUCUGGGUCAUUCGCUGCCUGUGUGUCAGCUCGAUGUCCUGAGUGUCUACCACAGAGCAGAGGCUUCCUCAGAACAUGAGGAAGAAGUAAUUCCGACAAAAUUACUCAAAAUGUUCAUUAACAACUGGAUGCAGGACUGGAAGGAAUACUGAAUUGGGAAUACUAAAUUGGGAGGAGCUGUUGACUCCCCCGAGGGCAGGGAGGCCCUGCAGAGAGACCUCGACAAGUUAGAGAUGGGCAAUCACCAACUGCACGAAGUUUAACAAGGGCAAGUGCUGGAUUCUGCACCUGAGACAGAGCAACCCUGGCUGUGUCCAGACUGAGCAUUUGCCAGGAAUAAUGUGUAAAGCUCAGGGUAAGUGUGGUAGCUCACAAAUGUGAUUCCUGGUAACUUGAUCUGCUGUUGAGUGAGUGGUCUGCCUGCAGCUGUGCUGCUGGAUGGAGGGCUUUUUACGGUGGAUAAUGUGUUUCGAAGGAGAAAGAGAAGAAGGAGGAAGACCAGCAUCACCCUAUGGAGGUCUCAUUUCUGGUAGAUGAGCGUGGUAGCUAAAGACUCAGCCUUUCACCUGCUGAAGUCCAUCACAGCUUUGCCCUUGUCUUCAGCAGAAGCUGGAAGCAACUUUCAGUUAAAGAACGAAGAGAACAGAUAGAGGAAUGAAAUAAAAUCCUGCUAGAAUCCAUGCUGCAGGAGGAAAAGCUGGUAUUUUUAUAAAGAGGAUACAGGGAGCACAGGAAAUUUUGGAAACUGCAUGGAUUUUAGAUUAAAUGAGCUUAGUGUACAUUUCCUCUGAAUAAACCAUGAAAUAUCUUGUCAAAAGUCUACCCUACAGUAGAUUGUAAAGUAUUACAUGGCAGAUUAUAAAAUGACUAGUGGGAGAAUACCUUGAUUGGCAGAUAAGAAGAGGUGGCUGCUGUAGUGAGAUUCACAGAACGAAGCCCCGGGGCACUGCUACCUACAAAGAGCAAUUCCACCCACACCACAAAGACAAGGCUGCAAGCAAAGGAAAGGGAGAGGAGAGUUUCUUACCUGGCUGUAAUUGGGACCUUGGGGAAGCAGAGAUGGAGAUGGCUCUGAGAGAGAUUUUUAAUUUUUAGCCAGGAAGAAGGCUUUUUUGGUUGACAUUCAUACUUGGAAAACCCGUUGGUGUUGGUGAACUGCCAAAUACCCAGAGAACCAUUGCAUCAUUCCAUGCUGGUUUGGGAGACACAAGGUUGGAUUCUGCAACCAGGUGUCUUAUUCCUUACGUCAGCAACUCCCAGCAAAAGGCUGAACAUUUAUCUUUGUAGUGACAUCGGUGGCUGAGCUAGGAACUGAAAUAGCAGCUACUGAGUAACUGCUCUGCUGGCCUGGAAAAGUCACCAAGGUAGUGCAGUGUAAGGUGUAUUUCUGCAUUCUUCAUCCACUUUUCAGUCUGAGACAGCCAAAAGAAAAGAUUUGGGACUUUUUUUUACCCCUCCCACUUCCGUUUGUUUUUGAUGUGGCUCAAUGUUGUCAUUAAAUUAAAUGUAUCCAGGCUAUGGGAGAGUGAAUUUAUGCAGGGAUUAAAAUAGGCUAACAUUAUGCCAUUGAAAAAUUCCUUAGCUUGCUACUGAAUGAAAGCUCAGUGCUGACCUGCACAAGUAUUUCUGCCCAGGAACAAAAACAGGUCUAAAAGACAGAACUGAGAAGACAGCUGGCAGGAUGAAAUGAAGAAAGAGAAUGUCAGCUGCCUCUCCAGGGACCAGGCCUCUUUGAAAUGAGCCCUGCCAGACAAAAUAGAAGUCUUGUUGCUGGGCUCUAGCAAAAUGCUAGCAAAGGCCAGAUCUGGUAAGCCCCAGGGCUGGGGUAUAUCAGUGUGUGAUUAGUGGUAGGGGUGGAAAUGUGAAUGCUCCAAUUCAGCAUUAAUGCUCACUGCUCUCUGCUCCUCAGCACACCCAAGAGAAAAUAAAUGAGUUUGCCCUGGCUCCAGGACUGGGACCCAUCAAUGCUGAGGGCAAUUCCUGGUGUCUCCCUUGUGCCAACCUCCUGCAAAAGUACCAGGGGCAAGGAACUGUGCCCAGUGAGUCAGGAAGAUGCACAGGGAGACCCAGCAUGGCUGUUCUCCCAGUGCCAGGAUCAGGUUUAAAUAGGGUUUCACACUAAGAAGCCACUCCAUCAGCUGGUCUAGGUGGACUUCACAUGAGCUGAGGAUCUUCUUGAAAUGCCACCAAAGAAGAGAAAGGUUUUUGCUUUCUCAUACUGGUAUAACUGAAAUCUCAAGGCCAGAAGGGUUUUGGACAGAAGGAAGGGCUGUAACCAACCUCUGGCCAUAAUUAAUUCAAGACAGCUGUUCAGACAGGGCAUUGGCACUUUUUGUCCUGCCAUAAUUAUUUUUUGCAAGAUGUUGUUUUGAUGCAUCCUGGAAACAAACUGUAUAGGAAGUUCACUGUUAUAAGAUUCAUGCUGCUAGCCAUAAGGGUCCAUACCGUGUCUGCUACACAGGACAGAUUAAUAAUAAACCUGUACUUACUUCUGUAUGGACAAGAAUAAAUAUUCAUCCCACUAGCUGGUAAAUCCCAUUUCAACUACUGUAUAUAGUUAUAUGACUAAUUCCCUUAGUGCAUAAAUUGUUCUGGUAUAACGAGUAUAUCUAUUUUAGACAAGAAGAUUCAUUUAAUUUAUCUACAUGAGUAGCUAUCCCAAUACAGAUGUAUUUAUACCAGCACAUCUGCAAGAGAGCAGACCUACCCCACUCAAAAGGAGUUUUGCCAUGUUAAUUGUGUGCACAGCUCAGCCUGAGGCACCUUCCAGUCAGCAGAAGCUGUCAGAGGAAAUACAGUCUGCUAUAACACGUGCUCCUCUGCAAGACCUGAAGUGCCAAUCAAGCAUGUGCUACUUGGACUGGGAAAAUGGUUUAAGAAGUUUGCCAGGAUGAAUGGAGCUUAAUAUCAGUUGAGUGAAAAGAAAAUCAAUAGGAGCCCAUUUCCCUGCAAGGCCAGCUCUUUUUCCAGCCUAUUACUCAUGUCAGGAAAAAUGUGUCUUUCUGAAUAAUCUUCAUUUGAGUGCCAUGUCACACAGAAAUUCACGAGGCAAAUAUCAAAUUCAAGGAGCAAGAGCCACUGGAUAAGAGACUUUAUACUCUCUGCGAAUGUCCCAGUAGUGUGCAGACAAUACCUUUGCUUUUUUAAAUGGGAAUAAAUUGUUGCAGAUUCAGGGCCAAAGUUAUUGCUAGUGCAAACUAAGCAACUCUUCACUGACUUGCAAUAAUAACUUGCAAUAAAAUAUGGCAGGAACAAAUCAGACCUAAAUCCAGCCUGGAAAAUAUGGAACAGUCAACACGGUUUUUUGCAAACCUGGUGAUUGGGGUGGUUGGAGCAAUGGCUUGCUCUGCAGAGAGGAGCUGAGACGUGAUGCUUAGAGCUGUAGGCUCAGUUAUUUAUGAAUCCUUAGGAGAUUGGUGGGGAUCCUUGUCAAAACCUGAUAAUGCAUUGAAAACAUGAGAAAGGAGCUCAUUAUACAAAUAAGGAGCUGUGCUUAUUCCCCAGUGCCAGCAGGACCUCACCUGUAAAAGCCUCUAAAUGCUUUCCCUGCCUCCACGAGGUGAUGAUCAUGGAGCAAGGCACGGAUACUGAGCUGGGGACUAAUGCCACCUGUGGAAUUACCUGUGCCAGUGUGCAGUGCAGGUGCAUGGACUGAUUCCACGGCUGUGCAGCCCUGCCAUGCCUGGCCUGCAAGAGUUAGUGAGACACUGAAUGACAGCGAGCACAAGAGGGGCAGGGGACCCUGUGGGACAGAAAUGCCAUCCCUGUGACAGCUGUCUGUGGCAAGCAAGAGAGCUGCCCAGCCAGGCGUGUCAGCUCGAGGGAAACAAAGGUGAACACAAGCAGGAGGGGAGGAGGGAUGUCGAGGCAUGGUCUGACUGAUCUAGCACUGCUAUUAAAGUGCAAAUUUAAACAGCAGAUGGAUAUACGCAUUUAUAGACAGAGUGCAUAGCUGGUAACUGCCUGGGUUUGGCUGGUACAUCUCUGUGUGAGAAGCAGAAGAUGAGCCCAGACAAUUAUACCUUGAAGAGAGCCCUCCAGGUAAGACUUUCAGUUAUGCACUACUCAAUUCCAGUCACAACUAGCAUCCAGUUGCCUGAAAUUCCAGCGGGACAUCAAACUCCUCCUGACACAUGCUCAUCUUGCCCAAAGCUUCAGUGGUUGCCAUGUCUUGCACUCCCAGUGACAUUUCCUUGCCCAGAAGCACCCGCUGCCCAGUGAGGGACCAGAAUUGCCAGCAGCACUACCUGAAGCUACCCGUUUUUCCAUGACUGAUUUUGUUCCUUAUACUCAGAAUGCCCUUUUAUUUACAAAGGGAAGAAGAAAGAAUGUUUGCUCCACAGCCCAGGGAAAUGCUGCAGUCAGGUCAUACAUCACUGCAUAAGAAAGUCAAAUAAUUAUUCCCCUGACAGAGGUGUGACACUUUUUGCAGAAGUGUUCUACACUUAGUUAUUAUGCCCAAGGCAUCACACUUUCCCAGGGAUAACAUAUGGCAGCAUAUUUAUCCCAGGGCUUGUAGGGCUCCAUGUUAUUCUUCAUAACUCACAGGUAUGAAAUUUGUCCUUGUGACCUCGUGACAUUUCAAGACAGCACAAAAUCAAUAAAGCACAUUGAAUCAUCAGCCAGCUUCAAAAACUAACCCAGCUGCAAGCAUCUUUGUAACAGCGACAGAUGAGCAUUGCUAUUAAACAGUCAGAAGUGUCAUUUGUCCCCAACCUGCUCCACUGCUUUGGUCUUUGGGGUAUUUCGGAGCAAUUCCUUUCCAUCGUGUCAUUUAAGCAGUAAAGGGGAAUCUUUUAUAAGCUGAGAAAGGGCUGCGGCAGCAGCUGACAUGAUUUAUGUUUAAUAAAGGCCCUUUUAGCGCCAGGAAAGAGGGGCCCUGCCAAAUCUCAGGCGUCUCUCGAGCCGCUGCUAUUGUCCCUGGGGCAGGAGCACUUUUGAGGUUCCCUCUCCAUCCCUGUGAACAAAGGGACAGCUGUACGCUUGGCUGGCUCGGGACGGGGCGCUUUGUGCGCGAUUAGCACCCCGCGCACAUCAUUCACGGCUCCUGAAUAAAGAUGACCUCUCGCAGGACGGGACGAGGGCAAAAAAGCCUCUUUAUUCAGCAGGGCUUGAAUUAGCAUAAGGACAAGGAAACCGUUCCUUGGAAGUCACAGGAUGAGCUAGAUACAUAAACAAGCAAACUACAGGUUCCCUGCAAACAGUCGGUGUGCAGGAGCUGGGCCGGGAGCUGUAAAUCCAUGGGGAUUGUCCCCACUGGCUCCCUUCGUGUGCCACCCCUGGCUCACCUGCAGCUGGGGAACAGCUUCGCCACUGUGGCCCUAAGGAGGACAAAUGAACGUGAGCUGAUUUUCAGCACCUU
Passer domesticus (house sparrow) is the source of this 6439-nucleotide long non-coding RNA. RefSeq lists it as uncharacterized. Lineage: Eukaryota; Metazoa; Chordata; Aves; Passeriformes; Passeridae. The record is from RefSeq and is a predicted model, not a curated record. The transcript is spliced from 4 exons.